RNAcentral lists this ribosomal RNA (465 nucleotides) under Vreelandella stevensii. Its description in RNAcentral is "partial 16S ribosomal RNA". It matches the Rfam family "Bacterial small subunit ribosomal RNA", at positions 338 to 795 of the family's 1533-position model. The record is from RNAcentral. Lineage: Bacteria; Pseudomonadati; Pseudomonadota; Gammaproteobacteria; Oceanospirillales; Halomonadaceae.
CCUACGGGUGGCUGCAGUGGGGAAUAUUGGACAAUGGGGGGAACCCUGAUCCAGCCAUGCCGCGUGUGUGAAGAAGGCCCUCGGGUUGUAAAGUACUUUCAGUGAGGAAGAACGCCUGGUGGUGAAUACCCAUCAGGAAAGACAUCACUCACAGAAGAAGCACCGGCUAACUCCGUGCCAGCAGCCGCGGUAAUACGGAGGGUGCGAGCGUUAAUCGGAAUUACUGGGCGUAAAGCGCGCGUAGGUGGCUUGAUAAGCCGGUUGUGAAAGCCCCGGGCUCAACCUGGGAACGGCAUCCGGAACUGUCAAGCUAGAGUGCAGGAGAGGAAGGUAGAAUUCCCGGUGUAGCGGUGAAAUGCGUAGAGAUCGGGAGGAAUACCAGUGGCGAAGGCGGCCUUCUGGACUGACACUGACACUGAGGUGCGAACGCGUGGGUAGCAAACAGGAUUAGAUACCCGGGUAGUC